Molecule: Y RNA, 110 nt
Filed under: Prolemur simus (greater bamboo lemur)
Lineage: Eukaryota; Metazoa; Chordata; Mammalia; Primates; Lemuridae
Description: Y RNA (ENSPSMG00000005808.1)
Rfam family: Y RNA
About the family: Y RNAs are components of the Ro ribonucleoprotein particle (Ro RNP), in association with Ro60 and La proteins.
Source: Rfam by way of RNAcentral
GCCUGGUCCACAGGUAGGGAGUUAUCUCACUUGAUUGUUCACAGCCAGUUACAGAUUGAACUCCUUGUUCUACUUUCCCCCACCUCUCUGCUGCACUGGACUAGUCUAAA